Molecule: ribosomal RNA, 477 nt
Filed under: uncultured bacterium
Lineage: Bacteria
Description: bacterial SSU rRNA
Rfam family: Bacterial small subunit ribosomal RNA
Source: RNAcentral
AGCGAACGUUUGCGGCGGGCCUAACACAUGCAAGUCGAACGCACUAGCAAUAGUGAGUGGCGCACGGGUGCGUAACACGUGGGUAAUCAACCCUUCAGCCUGGGAUAACGACUCGAAAGGGUCGCUAAUACCGGAUACGGCGCGAGAGGCUUCGGCUUCUCACGAGAAAGCCACGCAAGGGGCACUGAAGGACGAGCCUGCGGCCCAUCAGCUAGUUGGUGAGGUAAGAGCUCACCAGGGCUAAGACGGGUAGCUGGUCUGAGAGGAUGAUCAGCCACACUGGAACUGAGACACGGUCCAGAUUCCUACGGGAGGCAGCAGUGGGGAAUAUUGCGCAAUGGGCGAAAGCCUGACGCAGCCACGCCGCGUGAGCGAUGAAGGCCUUCGGGUCGUAAAGCUCUGUGGGGAGAGACGAAGAAAGCCUGUGAAGAGCAGGCCUUGACGGUAUCUCCUUAGCAAGCACCGGCUAACUCCGUG